AGCAGCCGCGGUAAUUCCAGCUCCAAUAGCGUAUAUUAAAGUUGUUGCAGUUAAAAAGCUCGUAGUUGAAUUUCGGGAUCAGAUUGUCGGUCGUGCCUCGGUACGCACUGGCAUUAUUGGUUCCUACCUUCUGAAGAACCGCGAUGUCAUUAAUUUGGUGUCGUGGGGAAUCAGGACUGUUACUUUGAAAAAAUUAGAGUGUUUAAAGCAAGCGCACGCUUGAAUACAUUAGCAUGGAAUAAUGAAAUAGGACGUUUGAUUCUAUUUUGUUGGUUUCUAGGAUCGACGUAAUGAUUAAUAGGGAUAGUUGGGGGCAUUAGUAUUCAAUUGUCAGAGGUGAAAUUCUUGGAUUUAUUGAAGACUAACUACUGCGAAAGCAUUUGCCAAGGAUGUUUUCAUUAAUCAAGAACGAAAGUUAGGGGAUCGAAGACGAUCAGAUACCGUCGUAGUCUUAACCAUAAACUAUGCCGACUAGGGAUCGGAUGAUGUUAAUUUUUUAAUGACUCAUUCGGCGCCUUACG
Molecule: ribosomal RNA, 521 nt
Filed under: uncultured Glomus
Lineage: Eukaryota; Fungi; Glomeromycota; Glomeromycetes; Glomerales; Glomeraceae
Description: SSU rRNA
Rfam family: Eukaryotic small subunit ribosomal RNA
Source: RNAcentral